GACCCUGUGGCCUAAUGGACAAGGGCAUCUGACUUCUAAUCAGGGGAUUGCAGGUUCGAGUCCUGCCAGGGUCG
RNAcentral lists this transfer RNA (74 nucleotides) under Brugia malayi. RNAcentral describes it as "tRNA-Arg". It matches the Rfam family "tRNA". From Rfam's summary of the family: Transfer RNA (tRNA) molecules are approximately 80 nucleotides in length. Lineage: Eukaryota; Metazoa; Nematoda; Chromadorea; Rhabditida; Onchocercidae. The record is from RNAcentral.